GACGCUAGCGGCAACUGCUGUUGAGUACAGCUGGCGCCUUCAUUCACGAAUCGACAUCCUCACUCUCGCAGUCUUGCUCUUUUCCUCGACACCCCCUUCUCGGACAUCGAAGAAAUGGCAGUGGCGUACCCGAGCGAGGAAGACGCGAGCGUGCUGGUUGGCUUCACAGAGUUUUUUACACAGCAGGAGGGCGUGCAUGCGCUUCUUCGCGUCACCGAGCAAGAUGUGCAAACAGUGAGGAGCGCAUGCAGUUCUGUGCUAGCGCAUCUCAGCAACACAAGCCGGCUUAUUCUUGCCUCCAUCCCUCUCAAUCAGGCAGAGCCCGCUCAGCUUGUCAUGGGAAACAAUGGCAGAGGCAUAGCGUAUCAGGUGGGCAGCGUCUAUCCUCACGUGCUACAGCACAGCAGUCCUAUGGGAUACAACAUCACCCUGUCCGAGUCUGCGGGGGCCGCACCACCGCUUCUUCACCACCCAAAGUCAUUUCUAGGGUCGCAGCUCGACGCGAUCGACUUCAUGGCGGCGGAGCUGGAAAGCGCCAAGGACACGCUGCUAUCUUUGAACGCGAGGUACGCAUACUUGUGGACCACGAAUGUGGGCGAGCUGCGCCGGUGCAUUGCACAAGACGAAAGACGUCAGAAGGUGCAGCAGCCGAUGUGUAAGCAUGCUCAGAUGAGGGCCGCUUCGAUUGAGGAGGAGACACAGAAGAGGCUAGCACACAGCCCCACGGAUGAAGUGGGACUGAGAGACGCAGCACUUCAGCAGGGUGACGCGCAGGGCAUAGCUGAGAGGGCGCCGAAGAAGGACCCUCAAGCAGAGGCGCCCUCUGAGUCAUCUGCGCAGGCGCCAACGUACCGCACGCUGCUGGCGCUGGACCCUUCGCAGCUGCCAUCGAUCCAAGUCCAGCGAAGCUUCAUGAAGUUCAUUCAGGCGUGCUUGUCUCUGCUAGAGUGGGCGGACAGCGUCUUAGGGCUGCUCUCUGGCAGGGACGAUGUACCGAAGGCUGGUACAUUCGAGGUGCCGGCGCAGCGGGAGUCGUCGCAGCGCCGAGUCGACACGGCUCGCGAGGCAAGCGAGCAGAGGCCGACAAACCAGGCAACCACAUCAGCUGGUGGGCGCCCCGGCACCAAGGCUGUGCGUGUUCUCCGCUACGAGAUACGCGACGUGAGCCACAUAUACGACAUGUUAUACCAGCAGGCGGAAUGCUUCUAUCUCCCAGAGUACGCCCUGUAUGAUGCACGCAUAAAGCAACGACUCCUGCAUCCGUCCUACUACUACGCCCUGCGCAUUCUUAUCGAGGACGCAACGACUGAGAUGACUCGUCUGGAACACAUCGCUGCUUCUCGGCCGGAUUUGGUGCGCGCCGACGCUGGCCUGUCGCCGUUUGAAGCGUAUCGACGCGGCGCCUUUGUCCCCUACCCUGAGUUCUUAGGAAUGGGCGUGAGCCCAUCUUUGCCUGCUGCGCACGGCAGGGUAGCCAUGGAAAGCGGCGAGCCAGCCAGGAUUGUCUUCCGGCCUGCACUGCCUCAGUUCGCGUUUCUUCGCAACACGCUGCGGGUGCUUCUCAGCGUCUGCAUCAACGAGGACGACCUAACGAGUUUCAAGCGCUAUGAGGAGUUGUACCAGACGCUUGUGGGAAGCGCCAGGGAUGCAGUGGUUGAGCUGCAACACCUCCCAAAGCCUACCCCUCCCCUUCUCGAGCCUGCUGCGCAGAGCAUGUUUGGCAAUCGACUUGCCGUGACGGCUGGCCGCCCGCGCUACGAGCUAGUAUUAGUUUCGGACGAGAGCAGCGCGCAGGAGGCGAGGUCGGGUGGCAAAGUGGCGUGGGUGAUAUCCGCUGAGGACCGCGGCCGAUUGCGCGCCGGAUUUGAGGCGUACUGGGAGUUGCGGGACGGCGUGCACUCCCUAAAGCUGUCUCUCGACAAGGACAUUCGCCGCAAAGAUAAGACUCACCGCACCCGUGUGCUUGACGCGUGCGUUGCACGUGAGAAGGACCUGGUGGCGAUCACGGCCCUCGAGCGCGAGCGGGAGCUCCAAGAGGCGGAGCACCGCUCCCGACGUGAGAACGGUGGCUGGUUGGGGGCGGCACGAGCGUCACUGCGGUCACUGGCCGGGAUCGCUACCUGCAAGGCCGAGGUUCAAAUGGAGGAUCUUGGCAUUCCGACGCCCCUAGAGCGCGACGAUGCUGGUGCUGUCAUGACGACCACCUCGCCCUACCACGCGGAGAAAACGUUGCUGCAGGAGAGCGUGAAUCGACUCUGGAGCGCUGUGGAGGCGCAUGGUGUGCACAUGGAACGCGAGUACCCGGGCCUGUUCUACCGCAGCGAGAGGCAGCGUUGGGCAAGUCGUGUCGGCUCAUUGAUCGAAAAGGCUAACGCAGUCGGCGUGGUCUUCUCUCCUUGAGUGGCGUUCGCGUGCUGACGGAGAGGGUGUUUUGGCUGGCCAUUGCGUCCUGAGGUAUGCCCGCUUUUUGUCUACACCUUUGUUCCCCCUCUCCGGCGUAGCGGCCUCCACGCCAACCUCGCAGACUUCGCUUUUCGCGCGCACUGGUUCUCUCGCUUACACUCACACCCAUUCUUGCUCAUCGUCGUAUGCACAGACGGAGAUGUCAGCCACAAUUCUGAAUGACAACAACAAAUCAACAGCACCAGCACCGCUCCCCGAUAGCCUUAGCGGCUUGUGUUUUGCGACUUUUUCCCUCGCCUCUGGCACAGUUUUUUUUUUGUGUUUGUUCUCUUCCGUGCCAACGUUAGGAGCCGAUGUGUCUAUUUCACACACGCGUACGUACGCACGUGCAGAUGGGCACGCACACAAGCGCAGAGACACACACGCAGGGCACCGGAGAAACAGAGAGCGCACGACAACUACGCACACACACGCACACAAACACACAGAGAGAAGCGCCUAGUCGGUCUUUGUGUUCGUUUUUGUUUCUUUUUUCCUCCCCCUUUUCCCUUCUUCUUGUGCGUCCCUUUCUCCUUCUGCCCACAUGCUCUCUUCUGCCCCUCCUUCUGUCUACCUGGCUCGUGGACGCACACAGCUACAGACGCACGUUUUUGUGCACAAACGUACGCAGACACGCGUCUCACGCGCUCAUGGUAAGUCCUCCCCCUCAUAUGACCUCUGUAGUGUGAUACGUUGUUCCUCUUUUCUUCUCGAUUAGCUUCGACCUACGGUGCUUGAUUGUUGCGUGUGACUGAGGGGAUGCUUCUGCAUAGUUGUGCAUAUCUGCGUAUAUAUAUGUGCCUAUAUGUGUAGAAACCAAUGAAAAGUGAGACAUAGGGAGGCAAAUAACACCCAACAAGGCGGAAGUUCCGGUCAGAGGUGCAUGUGUUGUGUUCUCGGAGAGAUACGGCGUUGGCUGUUGACGAGAUUCAGUAGGAGUAGGGUCAAGGGUGUUGGUAGUAGUGGGCCAGACGUAAAGUGUCGAAGGAUCGCAAUCGUUUCGCUGUCUUCAUGUGAUACACACAUAACGCUUACCCGGUGCACCUCCGCUUUUUCUUUUCUGUGACGGGUACGUGCUUUUGCCCUCACGUCUGUCUUGUCUCGCUUCGUGCCAAGUCUUUCGUGCUUGUUCGUGUUCAUGUGUGUCUGUGAGGACGCGUGCUGCUCUCCCAUGCAGCUCUGUGCCAUGUUAUUCAGGACGAAGAAGAAGGAAAAAAAAAACGUUUUCUCCGUUUUCGCUGUCUCGCUUUCUGUUGGCGGAGUAUCUCUGUUCUACCACACACUUUGUUUACUUGUUGUUUUCUUGCCCGCAACCUCAUUCCCUACCGCAAGAUGGUGCGCGAGUGAGGGCGUCCGUGUGUGGGUUCAUCGACAACGGCAAUCAAAACUAGUGGGGGCUAUGCGGCUACAAACGAAAAGAAAAUCGAGCUGACACGCACAGCGAUUUCAAAACAGGAGAGAGAGAGAGAGCGAGGUAUCGGAGGGGGGAGGGGGGAAGAAGUCGCAGUAAAGGGCACCAGGUCCACUAGAGAUGGUGGUCGCACCUCUUCUUCCUGCUUUCUUUUCCACCACCUAACCAGCGCCACGCUCAAAGCUGGCAUGCCUCCCGGGUGCCGACGCGCAUCUAAAUCGCUUUUCUGAUAGCUCCUUGGGCAUUUCGGCUAACGCAGCUAGCGCAGACGCACUCCGUGGGUGUGUGUAGGUGGGUGGAGGUGGCGGGCGAGGCAUAGCUCUGUUAGGGUACCAGCGGCCGAGAGGGGAGAGAAGGGUCCGUCGGGGGUGUCGCACCCCUUCCACCGUGCGUGGCAUGAGCGCUUUCAUAAGUCGCAUCGCUUCUUCUUUCUCUCGCUUGCUUGUCGGUCUCGCCACCGUUUCAAACACACACACAUACAG
Molecule: unclassified non-coding RNA, 4335 nt
Filed under: Leishmania donovani
Lineage: Eukaryota; Euglenozoa; Kinetoplastea; Trypanosomatida; Trypanosomatidae
Description: gene:LdHU3.16.1170(CDS-product:hypothetical_prote in_conserved)
Source: RNAcentral